Molecule: ribosomal RNA, 322 nt
Filed under: uncultured Sandona
Lineage: Eukaryota; Cercozoa; Glissomonadida
Description: SSU rRNA
Rfam family: Eukaryotic small subunit ribosomal RNA
Source: RNAcentral
GAUUUCUGGCUUGAAACAUUUUGCCGGCCACGGUUUCGUAUGUUAGUGCCUGAUGUUCUGACCAUCCUUCCAAUCGCUACUGGCUUGUCUUCAUUGAUUGGUCAGUAGUAUUGGAUCUUUUACUUUGAAAAAAUUAGAGUGUUUCAAGCAGGCUUUAUGCUAUGAAUACAUUAGCAUGGAAUAAUAAUUUAGGACUUUGGUUCUAUUUUGUUGGUUUCUAGGGCUGAAGUAAUGAUUGAUAGGGAUAGUUGGGGGUGCUAGUAUUCAGCGGCCAGAGGUGAAAUUCUCGGAUUCGCUGAAGACUAACUUAUGCGAAAGCAUU